This 253-nucleotide ribosomal RNA is filed under the name uncultured bacterium. Its description in RNAcentral is "partial 16S ribosomal RNA". It matches the Rfam family "Bacterial small subunit ribosomal RNA", at positions 524 to 776 of the family's 1533-position model. The record is from RNAcentral.
GACGUAGGGCGCAAGCGUUGUCCGGAUUUAUUGGGCGUAAAGAGCGUGUAGGCGGCCAGACAGGUCCGUUGUGAAAACUCGAGGCUCAACCUCGAGACGCCGAUGGAAACCGUCUGGCUAGAGUCCGGAAGAGGAGAGUGGAAUUCCCGGUGUAGCGGUGAAAUGCGCAGAUAUCGGGAAGAACACCCGUGGCUAAGGCGGCUCUCUAGUACGGUACUGACGCUGAGACGCGAAAGCGUGGGGAGCGAACAGG